GACGUAGGAGGCGAGCGUUGUCCGGAUUCAUUGGGCGUAAAGAGCACGCAGGCGGUUUGGCAAGUCGGAUGUGAAAACCCGAAGCUCAACUUCGGGCCUGCAUCCGAAACUGCCCGACUAGAGGUAGGUAGGGGAGAUCGGAAUUCCUGGUGUAGCGGUGAAAUGCGCAGAUAUCAGGAGGAACACCGGUGGCGAAGGCGGCAUUCUGGACCGACAUUGACGCUGAGGAGCGAAAGCCAGGGGAGCAAACGGG
Molecule: ribosomal RNA, 253 nt
Filed under: uncultured bacterium
Lineage: Bacteria
Description: partial 16S ribosomal RNA
Rfam family: Bacterial small subunit ribosomal RNA
Source: RNAcentral